Prunus mume (Japanese apricot) is the source of this 825-nucleotide non-coding RNA. Lineage: Eukaryota; Viridiplantae; Streptophyta; Magnoliopsida; Rosales; Rosaceae. The record is from RefSeq and is a predicted model, not a curated record.
AUCAAUUUCUAGGUACCAUAACUUGGAGUAUGUGGAUGAACGGCAUCGGCAUAGAUAUGAGAUGUUAUUGGAAUUCUUGAAGAAGCGGGCCUAAAAUUUGUAGGGAAGGAUGACAGUGGAAGCAAAUGGAGAUUUUAGAGCUUCCAAGCCAUCCAUUCUAUGUAGGAGUGCAAUUUCAUCCAGAAUUUAAAUCACGGCCUGGGAAGCCCUCAGCUCUCUUUUUAGGUCUUAUCUUGGCAGCAACAGGGCAGUUGGAAACAUAUCUUGACCAGCAUCCAAAUACAAGUUGACAGCAUUGAGUCGCUGUCUCAAUAUUCCCAGAUAAUUUUUUCAAGUGCACUAGUAAAAAGAUUGCUAUAGCAGUUAUCCUCGACUUCAUCAUCAAUGAGGUUAGCUUAUAACUCUCAUCUUACUACAAUACAAUUUUUGCAAUCUGCACAAUAUACUAAUUUCCUAAUUUCCAGUUAUCCUCCACUUUAUCAUCAAUGAGUUCCUAAUUUCCAGUUACUUCAGACAAGUGACUGAUAAACUUUAAGCGACUAAUUAAUUAGAGAUGCGCUUGCUAGCUCUUGAGUUUAAUUAUUCUUGCAUUUAGUUAAUUCCCGGUUUAGUGCAUCCCAAGUAAGAACUGACAUAAUUCUUUGUUUGAUGAAGGUCUGAUGGAUAAAGGGCAGAAGACAAUCUACCAGUGAUGAAUCUUAUGUUAUUUGUUUUUGGGAAGCACUUGACAUUUAGGUUGAACUUAAACAUGUAGCAUUUUGUUUUUGAGACAUCUUGUGAAUUUGUUGGAAGAAUGUUAGAUAUAUGGAUUGCUUUUGAAUGCAA